CACAAGCAGAGGAGCAUGUGGCUUAAUUCGAUGCAACGCGAAGAACCUUACCCGGGUUUGACAUGUGACUGCACGGCCUGUGAAAGCAGGCCUCCUUCGAGGGUGUCACACAGGUGCUGCAUGGCUGUCGUCAGUUCGUGCCGUGAGGUGUUUGGUUAAGUCCAGCAACGAACGCAACCCCUGUGUCCAGUUGCCAGCGCGCAAAGGCGGGAACUCUGGACAGACUGCCCGUUCACACGGGAGGAAGGUGGGGAUGACGUCAAGUCAGUAUGGCCCUUACAUCCGGGGCUGCACACGUGCUACAAUGGCCGGCACAAAGGGAAGCUUGACCGCGAGGUUUGGCCAACCCCCAAAACCGGCCCCAGUUCAGAUUGGGGUCUGCAACCCGACCCCAUGAAGGCGGAAUUGCUAGUAAUUGCAGAUCAGCAUGCUGCAGUGAAUACGUUCCCGGGCCUU
RNAcentral lists this ribosomal RNA (456 nucleotides) under uncultured Lentisphaerota bacterium. Its description in RNAcentral is "bacterial SSU rRNA". It matches the Rfam family "Bacterial small subunit ribosomal RNA", at positions 924 to 1382 of the family's 1533-position model. The record is from RNAcentral. Lineage: Bacteria; Pseudomonadati; Lentisphaerota.